CCUACGGGUGGCAGCAGUAGGGAAUAUUGCUCAAUGGGGGAAACCCUGAAGCAGCAACGCCGCGUGGAGGAAGAAGGCCCUCGGGUUGUAAACUUCUUUUGUCAGGGACGAAACAAAUGACGGUACCUGACGAAUAAGCCACGGCUAACUACGUGCCAGCAGCCGCGGUAAUACGUAGGUGGCAAGCGUUAUCCGGAUUUACUGGGUGUAAAGGGCGUGUAGGCGGGAGAGCAAGUCAGAUGUGAAAUUCUAGGGCUUAACCCUGGAACUGCAUUUGAAACUGUUUUUCUUGAGUGAUGGAGAGGCAGGCGGAAUUCCGAGUGUAGCGGUGAAAUGCGUAGAUAUACGGAGGAACACCAGUGGCGAAGGCGGCCUGCUGGACAUUAACUGACGCUGAGGCGCGAAAGCGUGGGGAGCAAACAGGAUUAGAUACCCUAGUAGUC
This 443-nucleotide ribosomal RNA is filed under the name uncultured bacterium. Its description in RNAcentral is "partial 16S ribosomal RNA". It matches the Rfam family "Bacterial small subunit ribosomal RNA", at positions 338 to 795 of the family's 1533-position model. The record is from RNAcentral.